This 795-nucleotide long non-coding RNA is filed under the name Sinocyclocheilus rhinocerous. Its description in RNAcentral is "lncRNA (ENSSRHG00000023705.1)". Lineage: Eukaryota; Metazoa; Chordata; Actinopteri; Cypriniformes; Cyprinidae. The record is from RNAcentral.
GUUGGAAAUGUCAGAGUGAACGGCUCUGUGUGUGUUGUUUGAAGGUCAGUGAUGGCAGCUUAUGUGCAGUCACUGAGAUGCCGGACGAUGAGCUGGCGGUGGGUUGCAGCAACUGCUCUGUCUGUAUCUGGAAGCUGGAGCGGGAUGUCAAGAAGUGCAUUGUGGGACUCGGUAAGGUGUCUUCAUUCAAAGUGAAGUCUCCUAUGAGCUUUUUGUUCUACUGUGGCAGUCUGUUUGGAGUAUGUACGGAUGGAAAAAUCAUUGAUGUGGUCUCUACUAAAGACGAGAUCAGAGAAGUUUUUACCUGGGCAAACGAGGUAUAUCCUCUCGGCGUCAUGGUGAAUGAUAGCAAGAGCUUUUGGCUGUUGGGUCAGAAACAGGGCGUUCUGUACAUUGGCCUCAUUUUGUCUGUGAAUUCGAGUGGGUCUGACAUAACCUUUUGUGAAGAUGCAGUGGGCCAGAGGCCGGAUUACUUAGAGGAAGAGGAGGAAAGAGAUGAGAAAAUGGAGGAGCGGCGGCAGCAGGAGGAGAAGGAGAAGCAGCAGCCGGAGGAGGGGGAACAGCAGCAGGAGGAAGAACAGCGGCAGCAGCAGGAGCAGGAGGAGGAAGUGGAAGAGCAGCAGCAGCAGGAGGAAGAGGAGCCGAAGAAACUGAGUGAGGAACUGCGGAGGGAGAGGCAAAUUGCAAUCCAGAGGGCUGCGCAGAUCAGCACCUGGAUCACAGCCGCAGCAGUGCAGAACGGUACUAGGGCUGGGUUUUGACACAAAUUUCACGAUUCGAUUCGAUUCUCAUUCA